GACGAACGCUGGCGGUGUGCUUAACACAUGCAAGUCGAACGGUAAGGCCCUUUCGGGGGUACGCGAGUGGCGAACGGGUGAGUAACACGUGAGUAACCUGCCCUCAUCUCUGGGAUAACAGUCGGAAACGGUUGCUAAUACUGGAUAUGAGCUUGCAAGGCAUCUUGUGGGUUGGAAAGAUUUUUUUUGGUUGGGGAUGGACUCGCGGCCUAUCAGCUUGUUGGUGAGGUAGUGGCUCACCAAGGCUUCGACGGGUAGCCGGCCUGAGAGGGCGACCGGCCACAUUGGGACUGAGAUACGGCCCAAACUCCUACGGGAGGCAGCAGUGGGGAAUAUUGCACAAUGGACGGAAGUCUGAUGCAGCAACGCCGCGUGCGGGAUGACGGCCUUCGGGUUGUAAACCGCUUUCAAUUGUGACGAAGCUUUUUUGUGACGGUAGCAGUAGAAGAAGCACCGGCUAACUACGUG
RNAcentral lists this ribosomal RNA (468 nucleotides) under uncultured bacterium. Its description in RNAcentral is "partial 16S ribosomal RNA". It matches the Rfam family "Bacterial small subunit ribosomal RNA", at positions 28 to 507 of the family's 1533-position model. The record is from RNAcentral.